Molecule: long non-coding RNA, 197 nt
Organism: Ornithodoros turicata
Lineage: Eukaryota; Metazoa; Arthropoda; Arachnida; Ixodida; Argasidae
Exons: 2
Source: RefSeq, a predicted model, not a curated record
UAUAAUGACUCACUGGGGGACUACAGAAGGUGCAGCUACCCAUGCGACUGUGAAGUACAAAUAUAAACGCCCGACGAGGGGCUGACUGAUAUCUCAAGAAGAUGCAGCAUGGGAUGGCCCAACUAAAUUUAGCUGACUCUUAUUAUACCAUCAAUAUGUCCGUCCUCAUACAGAAAUAAAGCGUUGACACUGUCUUC